This 82-nucleotide transfer RNA is filed under the name Ixodes scapularis (black-legged tick). It matches the Rfam family "tRNA". Rfam says of the family: Transfer RNA (tRNA) molecules are approximately 80 nucleotides in length. Their secondary structure includes four short double-helical elements and three loops (D, anti-codon, and T loops). The record is from Rfam by way of RNAcentral. Lineage: Eukaryota; Metazoa; Arthropoda; Arachnida; Ixodida; Ixodidae.
ACAGUCGUGGCCGAGUGGCUAAGGUGAUGGACUAGAAAUCCAUUGCGGUCUCCCUACACAGCUUCAAAUCCUGUCGACUGCG